Molecule: ribosomal RNA, 427 nt
Filed under: uncultured bacterium
Lineage: Bacteria
Description: partial 16S ribosomal RNA
Rfam family: Bacterial small subunit ribosomal RNA
Source: RNAcentral
UGGGGAAUAUUGCACAAUGGGCGCAAGCCUGAUGCAGCCAUGCCGCGUGUAUGAAGAAGGCCUUCGGGUUGUAAAGUACUUUCAGCGAGGAGGAAGGCGUUGUGGUUAAUAACCGCAGCGAUUGACGUUACUCGCAGAAGAAGCACCGGCUAACUCCGUGCCAGCAGCCGCGGUACUACGGAGGGGGCAAGCGUUAAUCGGAAUUACUGGGUGUAAAGCGCACGCAGGCGGUCUGUCAAGUCGGAUGUGAAAUCCCCGGGCUCAACCUGGGAACUGCAUCCGAAACUGGCAGGCUAGAGUCUUGUAGAGGGGGGUAGAAUUCCAGGUGUAGCGGUGAAAUGCGUAGAGAUCUGGAGGAAUACCGGUGGCGAAGGCGGCCCCCUGGACAAAGACUGACGCUCAGGUGCGAAAGCGUGGGGAGCAAACA